This 148-nucleotide small RNA is filed under the name Pongo abelii (Sumatran orangutan). RNAcentral's name for it is "Metazoan signal recognition particle RNA (ENSPPYG00000032546.1)". Lineage: Eukaryota; Metazoa; Chordata; Mammalia; Primates; Hominidae. The record is from Rfam by way of RNAcentral.
GCCGGGCGUGGUGGCACAUGCCUGUAAUCCCAGCUACUCAGGAGGCUGAGGCAGGAGAAUCACUUGAACCUGGGAGGCGGAGGUUGCAGUGAGCCAAGAUGGCACCACUGCACUCUAGCCUGGGUGACAGAGCGAGAUUCUGUCUCAA